AAAAUAAAAAACAGACAACAGGAAAGAGAAAAAAGCCCUCCCUGAUGUAUUAGUCAGAUUCAUUUGUCAGUCCCAUGUGUAUCUGUGAAAGUUCACAACUUAAGUGUUCCUUAAGUAAACCAGCAUGGAGGUCACAUCACAUCCUGCACACUGCAGACAAAGAGAAUAAGAUGAGCUCUGGGGAUCCUACAGUACCCUUGGGAAGCCAGACUGCACUCUGCAAGAAGUAAAAUGCCACAGCUGCAGGUGUGAGAGACAUUCAGGACACCUGGGAGCAAAGGCCAGCUGAAGUCUGCUCAGCAAGGUGGAGAGGGUCACUUGGAGUAAAGAGGACAGCUAUGAAGGCACAUGGUAGGAAAAGUUAGCUUCUUCAGGAACCAGAGCAGUAGGCUGCUGUGUGCAAGGUGGCCCAGUCACGAGCCAGCUGAAAGGCAGUGGGGGUGUGGUCCGCCCCCAGGGCGGCACUCAGAUGCACACACAGACACGAUCAUGCACACCUUAGGACAGCUGAAGAGGCUGCACAGGACUCGUGGCAGAGUAUCAUGGCAUCCUCUGCCCCAUCAGGGAGCUCUGCAGUAGAUGGUGACACACUGGAGAGCUUUCUGCUCAGACCUGGGCGAUGGAAAGAGACCCUAGAGGUAGAUGCUCACCGCUAUAAUGUCAUGCAGGCAGGAGGCAACAAGAGCUCUUAGAGGUGUGGUAGGGGAGCGGGGCAUAAGCCUCUCAGCGACAGGUGUGGAAGGUGAGUGGGAGGUGAACAGCUGUUAGGCCCAUGUCAUCGGCACCACAGACGCAGCAUGAAGGCACAGCGUGGCUGGGUAGGUGUCUCUGGACCAAGCAGUAGAGGAGCCGGGGGAGAAGAGGAAGCUGGAGUCUCCCUGCUGCAGUGUUCUGGCCUGGGACACCUGGUAGACAACUGUCGUCCCUGGGACUGGCUCGAAAACCAGUCUGAACCCAGGCUAGGGCGAGGCUGCGUGGCGGGGGUGGGGGGUGGCAUGCGGCAGGACCCUGUUAAGGCCGCCCUGGCAGGCCGGGGUCAGUGUUCUCACAGCUCAGUGCUGCCUGCCUCCAGGCACCUUGCCAGUGACUAUCCAGGUCUUGGCCCUUGGAACUCAGGGCCUCAGGGCCACGGUGUCACUGCAGGAUGGUGAUGCGGACACGCAGGUGCGUGGUGAGGGCCGAGCUGCAGCUGAAGGCCUCCCUGCGGUUGUUGCCCUUUAGGGCUUCUCCCUGGUGUCGGUCCGCUGAUGCUCCACGAGGAGGAGCUCUGUGUGAAGGCCUUGGGACACAACAGCACCGAUAGGGAUUCUUUCCAGAGUGGGUCCUCAGGUCCCUGAAGGGCCACCCACAGGCACCACACUGAUAGGGUUGGUCCCCCAUGCGGGUGCGCUGGCGCUGCGUGAGGUGCAACGUCAAGCUGAAGGCCUUGCCGCACUGUGUGCGUGCCUAGGGCUUCUCUGCAGUGUGGAUCCUGCGCGAGGUGGCUCGUGGAUGAAGCAUGCCGUGGCUGAAGACCUUUCCGCACUCACCACAGGCACACGGUGUCUUCCGGGAGUGGCUCUUCUUGGGCUCCACAACGUUCUCUGACACUGGCUACACCUGGAGGCCUUUUUCCCUAAGGAGGCAUAGGGAGGCCCUGUCCCAUAAUGACCCAAGGGACCAAAUCUGUCCUCUGAGGGAGGCUGCUCUUGGGAAGCAAGGAUUAGCCAUGUCCUGAACUGUUUCCUGAGGCAGCAGACCAGGACAGGCUGUCUGUGGAGGCAUCCUGCUGAGGCCCCGAUGUUCCCUGAAAUCCACCUGCUGGAUGACAGACUGUCUGGAUCUCCUGCCUCAGACUCACAUGUGGUGGCAAACUCGGGUGCUGGGGAAGCCCUUCCCGUGAGGGGACCGUGUCUUCGGUCACAUUUGACAGCCCUGGCUCUUUCCCAUGGCUCUGCUCAAAGCCCAUCUCAGCAAGGUCUAUGCCUGGCUUCUACUCUGAAACAAUUGGAGCCAUAGCUCACCGCUCCUGCCACACCAGACCAGACCUCCCCAUCUGCCUAGUGCAGUGCCCACCCUCUCUGUAAGGAGAGACGUGGGCCACCCCUGAGAUAGCCUCAUUUCCAAAGGACGUUUCUGACUGGGUGUCUUGGACAACAGACCGGUGUGGGCCUUCCUCCCACACUACCAAGCUGCAUCACAGGUUCUGAAGUUUCCCUUGUUGCUUUAAGGCUCCUGUGCUUGGCCUAAGUGUCAGCAGGACAAACCCUCAGGUGAGAGGAGCAAGAGGGAGGUCUGGACUCUGCUGGCAUCUGCUCCCCAGGCCAGGGACCCAGCUCUGGGAGGUCGGCACUGUCUUUUACACUUGACACCUGCUUCUGGGACCAGUGAAUACUGGCAGAAAGGGAAUCACUCCAGGUGCCAGUGCUACAGAAGCCCAGGUAGAUACCUGCUGAUGGGAAGGGUGGGUGAGCUACCCAGGUGGCCUCUUUGGAGGCCCCAGACCACGCUGUGUGAAGCACAGUGAAGGUGGAGGAUGGCUAAGGGAAAGCUGGACACUGGGUCUGGGUGCACAGAACAGCUGAGGACAUGUGAUCUGGCCACAUAAGGUGGCAUAGGAGAGGAAGGAAUAGUUGGCCCAGAAGCCAAGGUCAACCACCAGGCUCCGUGCUGGCUCACUGUGGAUCCUGGAGCAAUCCUGCUUUUGUCUGUGCCUUGCUGUCCCAUCUGUAAGCUGGAGACAUGAUAUAUUUACCUUCUUGGGUUUUUAUCAGGCUACUGUUGCAUGCAAGACUCAAAGAGCAGUGUGCAACUCCCACCAUCUCCUCUCUGUUUCAAAAGGAACCACUCACCAGGAGAAACUGAGGCCCCACUCAGAGCUGCUAUGUGGGCCGGCUCGAAAACAUUUGAGCACCACGGACAGCUUCACCCCCCCACCCCGCCUUCCAGGGAUGAUUACUGCAGACGUCUCCGCAGCCUCCCAGUUCUGCCGGUUCCUGAGCUUCCUCAAAGUGAACUGCGUCCCCUGUAAGUCUGAUGCCUCAGCUCCACAGUCAGCCCGCAGGGUGCUUCUGUAGGGACUGUCGGACACGGGUAACGCACAGGAGACUGCCUUUCAGAACAGAUGCACAUUUUCUUCCAGUUGCCCUUGGCAGGAACAACCUGAAUCUGAGCCACUGUUCACCUUUGUUAUCAAGAAGUUGAAGCUAUUUUCAACUCAGAUGGCAUUGUUAGCGGAACACGCACAUGUACAUUCAGAGCAGGUGACUCCAACACCCAGAGUCCCUGGUGAUGAGGACAUGCUGGCGGGGGAAGGCAGCUAGCAAACAACACAACAAAUUAUAAAACUUACUUUAACUGGAAAGAGUUGAAGUUCUUGUUAAAUUUAUUUUUUGAGCUGGUAAUGCUUUUACAUGUUUCAAAAUUGCAAAAAUAUAAAAAGAUAUAGAGUGAAAAUAUUCCUCCUCUCCAUCCUUCCUUUCUUUCCCAAGGGCGACCAGUGUACCUGUUUGCUUUUUACUUUCAGAGACUGUAUUUAUGUAUACAUUUCCUCUUUACACAAAUGGAAACAGUUUUACACCCUGCUCUUCACUGAAGGUAUCUUGGGGGUCUUUCCCAUAUUAGUAUAGAAGGACAGUCUUCAUUUUUAAGGCUGUGCUAUCUAUUCACCAUAAAGUACUUAGCUAGUUCUCCAUGGUGAAUACAGUGGUUGUUUCCAAAUGUUUUACUUUUAAGAUCAACAGUAUAAUGAAAACUAUAUACAAACAGUUUGCACAUGUACAAAUGUCUGUAAGAUUCAUUCCCAGCAGAUUUCCUGAAACAAAACCUUUCUGUAUUUGUAAUUUAAAUAGUGACUGCUAAGUCUUAAUAUCAAUUCACUCCCACUGGAAAUACACAGGAAAUGUUUCCACUCCUUUGAGAAAGCUUGAAGCUGUGUGAAGGGUAGAUGCAUUGUUAAAAUCUUUCUGAAAGGUAAUUUUAAAAGUUACAUGAGGACUGGGGAUUUAGCUCAGUGGUUCUGCCACCUGCCUUGC
Fukomys damarensis (Damara mole-rat) is the source of this 4013-nucleotide long non-coding RNA. RefSeq lists it as uncharacterized. Lineage: Eukaryota; Metazoa; Chordata; Mammalia; Rodentia; Bathyergidae. The transcript has 4 exons. The record is from RefSeq and is a predicted model, not a curated record.